Molecule: ribosomal RNA, 1241 nt
Filed under: Neobacillus bataviensis
Lineage: Bacteria; Bacillati; Bacillota; Bacilli; Caryophanales; Bacillaceae
Description: Bacillus bataviensis partial 23S ribosomal RNA
Rfam family: Bacterial large subunit ribosomal RNA
Source: RNAcentral
GGUGCCCGUACCGCAAACCGACACAGGUAGGCGAGGAGAGAAUCCUAAGGUGAGCGAGAGAACUCUCGUUAAGGAACUCGGCAAAAUGACCCCGUAACUUCGGGAGAAGGGGUGCUUUUUAGGGUGAAUAGCCCUGAAGAGCCGCAGUGAAUAGGCCCAGGCGACUGUUUAGCAAAAACACAGGUCUCUGCGAAGCCGCAAGGCGAAGUAUAGGGGCUGACGCCUGCCCGGUGCUGGAAGGUUAAGAGGAGGGGUUAGCUCACGCGAAGCUCUGAAUCGAAGCCCCAGUAAACGGCGGCCGUAACUAUAACGGUCCUAAGGUAGCGAAAUUCCUUGUCGGGUAAGUUCCGACCCGCACGAAAGGCGUAACGAUCUGGGCACUGUCUCAACGAGAGACUCGGUGAAAUUAUAGUACCUGUGAAGAUGCAGGUUACCCGCGACAGGACGGAAAGACCCCGUGGAGCUUUACUGUAGCCUGAUAUUGAAUUUUGGUACAGCUUGUACAGGAUAGGUAGGAGCCUGAGAAGCCGGAGCGCCAGCUUCGGUGGAGGCGUCGGUGGGAUACUACCCUGGCUGUAUUGAAAUUCUAACCCGCACCCCUUAUCGGGGUGGGAGACAGUGUCAGGUGGGCAGUUUGACUGGGGCGGUCGCCUCCUAAAGAGUAACGGAGGCGCCCAAAGGUUCCCUCAGAAUGGUUGGAAAUCAUUCGUAGAGUGUAAAGGCACAAGGGAGCUUGACUGCGAGACCUACAAGUCGAGCAGGGACGAAAGUCGGGCUUAGUGAUCCGGUGGUUCCGCAUGGAAGGGCCAUCGCUCAACGGAUAAAAGCUACCCCGGGGAUAACAGGCUUAUCUCCCCCAAGAGUCCACAUCGACGGGGAGGUUUGGCACCUCGAUGUCGGCUCAUCGCAUCCUGGGGCUGUAGUCGGUCCCAAGGGUUGGGCUGUUCGCCCAUUAAAGCGGUACGCGAGCUGGGUUCAGAACGUCGUGAGACAGUUCGGUCCCUAUCCGUCGUGGGCGCAGGAAAUUUGAGAGGAGCUGUCCUUAGUACGAGAGGACCGGGAUGGACGCACCGCUGGUGUACCAGUUGUCUUGCCAAAGGCAUCGCUGGGUAGCUAUGUGCGGACGGGAUAAGUGCUGAAAGCAUCUAAGCAUGAAGCCCCCCUCAAGAUGAGAUUUCCCAUAGCGUCAAGCUAGUAAGAUCCCUGAAAGAUGAUCAGGUUGAUAGGUCAGAGGUGGAAGC